This 21-nucleotide small nuclear RNA is filed under the name Arabidopsis thaliana (thale cress). RNAcentral's name for it is "snRNA_01447". The record is from RNAcentral. Lineage: Eukaryota; Viridiplantae; Streptophyta; Magnoliopsida; Brassicales; Brassicaceae.
UUGAAGGCCGAAGAGGGGAAA